Notechis scutatus (mainland tiger snake) is the source of this 103-nucleotide non-coding RNA. NCBI's taxonomy places the organism in Eukaryota, Metazoa, Chordata, Lepidosauria, Squamata, Elapidae. The record is from RefSeq and is a predicted model, not a curated record.
UGGGCCAAUGUAUUGAACAUAACAAAGAUCUUCUCCGGGUAGAGACAUAAUAGGAAUUGCCCAGAGCCCUUUCAUUACAUCAUCAUCCAGCAAGGCUCAACCA